AGUGAACGCUGGCGGCGUGCCUAAUACAUGCAAGUCGAACGGAGAUUAAAUAGCUUGCUAUUUAAUCUUAGUGGCGCACGGGUGAGUAAUAUAUAGUUAAUCUGCCCCAUAGUGGAGGACAACAGUUAGAAAUGACUGCUAAUACUCCAUACUCCUUCUUAUCAUAAGUUAAGUCGGGAAAGUUUUUCGCUAUGGGAUGAGACUAUAUCGUAUCAGCUAGUUGGUGAAGUAAUGGCUCACCAAGGCUAUGACGCGUAACUGGUCUGAGAGGAUGAUCAGUCACAUUGGAACUGAGACACGGUCCAAACUCCUACGGGAGGCAGCAGUAGGGAAUAUUGCGCAAUGGGGGAAACCCUGACGCAGCAACGCCGCGUGGAGGAUGACACUUUUCGGAGCGUAAACUCCUUUUGUUAGGGAAGAAUAAUGACGGUACCUAACGAAUAAGCACCGGCUAACUCCGUGCCAGCAGCCGCGGUAAUACGGAGGGUGCAAGCGUUACUCGGAAUCACUGGGCGUAAAGGACGCGUAGGCGGAUUAUCAAGUCUCUUGUGAAAUCUAGUGGCUUAACCACUAAACUGCUUGGGAAACUGAUAAUCUAGAGUAAGGGAGAGGCAGAUGGAAUUCUUGGUGUAGGGGUAAAAUCCGUAGAGAUCAAGAAGAAUACUUAUUGCGAAGGCGAUCUGCUAGAACUUAACUGACGCUAAUGCGUGAAAGCGUGGGGAGCAAACAGG
Molecule: ribosomal RNA, 731 nt
Filed under: uncultured Campylobacter sp.
Lineage: Bacteria; Pseudomonadati; Campylobacterota; Epsilonproteobacteria; Campylobacterales; Campylobacteraceae
Description: bacterial SSU rRNA
Rfam family: Bacterial small subunit ribosomal RNA
Source: RNAcentral